GCCGAUGUGGCUCAGUGGUAGAGCAGCUGAUUCGUAAUCAGCAGGCCACGGGUUCAAAUCCCGUCAUCGGCUCUA
Molecule: transfer RNA, 75 nt
Filed under: Nostoc sp. 106C
Lineage: Bacteria; Bacillati; Cyanobacteriota; Cyanophyceae; Nostocales; Nostocaceae
Also listed under: 1 other name
Description: tRNA-Thr
Rfam family: tRNA
About the family: Transfer RNA (tRNA) molecules are approximately 80 nucleotides in length. Their secondary structure includes four short double-helical elements and three loops (D, anti-codon, and T loops). Further hydrogen bonds mediate the characteristic L-shaped molecular structure. tRNAs have two regions of fundamental functional importance: the anti-codon, which is responsible for specific mRNA codon recognition, and the 3' end, to which the tRNAs corresponding amino acid is attached (by aminoacyl-tRNA synthetases). tRNAs cope with the degeneracy of the genetic code in two manners: having more than one tRNA (with a specific anti-codon) for a particular amino acid; and 'wobble' base-pairing, i.e. permitting non-standard base-pairing at the 3rd anti-codon position.
Source: RNAcentral